GCACGGAGUUAGCCGGAGCUUACAAACAGUACCGUCAUCGUAAGAGAUAUUAACCCUUACUUAUUCUUCCCGUUCUUGCGAAGUUAACAUCCCGAGGGAUUUCAUCCUUCACGCGGCGUUGCUGGGUCAGGCUUUCGCCCAUUGCCCAAAAUUCCCGACUGCUGCUUCCCGUAGGAGUCUGACCCGUAUGUCAGUGUCAGUGUGGCCGACCGCCCUCUCAGGCCGGCUACAGAUCAUCGCCUUGGUAAGCCGUUACCUUACCAACUAGCUAAUCUGCCGCAGGCUCCUCUUCAGACGCGAGGUCUUGCGAUCCCCCGCUUUAACAACUGUCACCAUUAGGUGCCGCUGCAUUAUUCGGUAUUAGCCACCGUUUCCGGUGGUUAUUCCCAAUCCAAAGGUAGAUUACCUACGUGUUACUCACCCGUGCGCCACUCUACUCGCCCCCCGAAGGGGACUUUCGCGUUCGACUUGCAUGUCUGAGGCACGCCGCCAGCGUUGAUU
Molecule: ribosomal RNA, 501 nt
Filed under: uncultured bacterium
Lineage: Bacteria
Description: partial 16S rRNA
Source: RNAcentral